This is a long non-coding RNA of Poecilia latipinna (sailfin molly), 438 nucleotides long. RefSeq lists it as uncharacterized. NCBI's taxonomy places the organism in Eukaryota, Metazoa, Chordata, Actinopteri, Cyprinodontiformes, Poeciliidae. The transcript has 3 exons. The record is from RefSeq and is a predicted model, not a curated record.
CAAAUUCACAUCAAUGCCUUUCUUUACAAUAUGAAAUAUUUGUUUAAAGUCGCAGUAUUUUUAUAACCACAUACAGAGUUUUGUUCAUGAAACAGGUUGAAAUGUCUGUUCAGUGGACAGGAAAUAAAACCCACCAACUGCUGCGGUCAAAGCUGCUGCUGCUGCUGUGAAGUUUGUGUAAAAAGGGAAGGAAACACACAGCUAUACUGAGAAGCAUAAAACAUGCUGGUGUCAUUUAUGUGUGACAGAUGUAACGUCUUCAUACUUAUAGAUAAAACAACGUAGAAACCUUUCUGAUGAGCAGAAGGUCUGGAUGUGAGGAUGGAGAACGCUCUGCUCUGCAUGCUGGGAUUUUUCUUUCUCAGUAAUCUCAUCUAUGUAAAUGCUGAAGAUCCGAGUGAAUCAGGAAAUAAAGAUGAUAAUCAGGAAAGAGACGCG